UCUCACACGCAUGCGCGAGACUUGAGCUCCCAUGAUACUACCCUGUACAAUGGAAUAUUAUUCAUAGACUCGCAGCGCCACCAUGACACUUGUCGUUUUGUAGUGAACUAAUUACCGAAACUGCGUGAACGUCCGCACAUAUAUCUUAUUACUAAGCCGAGUUAGGACUCCAGUAUAGAGCUUGGACUUUUUUUUUUAACGUUUUGUUGUGUUCUGGCUAUUGGCCAAACCUUAAGAGCAGACGGUAAUUGUAACAGAAUGUGCAAAUAACAUAUAGACCAUCGCCAGACCAUCACUAGAUCACCGCAGUGGCGUGGUUUAAGAUGAGUACUCAGCCCUGUUCAUGGUUCGGAGGACAUACCAGGAACAUCUUCCUGGUGAUUAUUUUCAAACACAAGCUUGUGUAUUCAGUAACAUUUAUUUUGCAUGGAUAAAGAAAAAUGGAAAUGCUGACGUCAAAAAAACUGUGUCUUGUCAGAACGAGGCUAAUGGAAAUUCAUACGACUAAGGUGAAAAGUCAACAAAGUAAAAGUCUACACAAAAUUUCAAAUUAGAUCUAUAUCCUGAAAAGUGUUAAUUUUAUUAGAUUUUUUUUUCUGCAAAUCUUUUAAAAAAAAAAAAAAUACGUGGACUUAUAGAGUUAGCGGUACACGACAUGAAACUUCUAGCCUUUCUAUCUGUCAACAUUUAGAACUCACACAUGAAAGUAUCUUGAAAUAAAGGCAUUAUUUAAAUCUG
Long non-coding RNA from Biomphalaria glabrata, 738 nucleotides. RefSeq lists it as uncharacterized. Lineage: Eukaryota; Metazoa; Mollusca; Gastropoda; Planorbidae. The transcript is spliced from 4 exons. The record is from RefSeq and is a predicted model, not a curated record.